CCCGAGCGUUGUUCGGAAUCACUGGGCGUAAAGGGAGCGUAGACGGCAGGGUAAGUCAGAUGGGAAAUCCCGGGGCUCAACCCCGGAACGGCAUCCGAUACUGCCCUGCUUGAGUAAUGGAGGGGUAGCUGGAAUUCUCGGUGUAGCAGUGAAAUGCGCGGAUAUCGAGAGGAACACUCGUGGCGAAAGCGAGCUACUGGACAUUGACUGACGCUGAGGCUCGAAGGCCAGGGUAGCGAAAGGGAUUAGAUACCCCUGUAGUCCUGGCAGUAAACGGUGUGCGCUUGGUGUGGGGGGUUUCGACCCCCAUUGUGCCGGAGCUAACGCGUUAAGCGCACCGCCUGGGAAGUACGGUCGCAAGACUAAAACUCAAAGAAAUUGACGGGGACCCGCACAAGCGGUGGAGUAUGUGGCUUAAUUCGAUGCAACGCGAAGAACCUUACCUGGGCUUGACAUGCAUUGCUAAUCCGCUGAAAGGCGGUGAGUCUUCGGACACCUUGCACAGGUGCUGCAUGGCCGUCGUCAGCUCGUGUCGUGAGAUGUUGGGUUAAGUCCCGCAACGAGCGCAACCCCUGUGAUUAGUUGCCAGCACGUGAAGGUGGGGACUCUAAUCAGACUGCCCAGAUCAACUGGGAGGAAGGUGGGGACGACGUCAGGUCAGUAUGGCCCUUACGCCCAGGGCUGCACACGUACUACAAUGCCCAGCACAAUUGGAACCGAUACCGCGAGGUGGAGGGAAUCCGAAAAACUGGGCCCAGUUCGGAUUGGAGGCUGCAACUCGCCUCCAUGAAGCCGGAAUCGCUAGUAAUGGCACAUCAGCUACGGUGCCGUGAAUACGUUCCCGNGGUCUUGUACACACCGCCCGUCGCAUCAUGGAGCCGUAGCACCCGAAGUAUCUUAAGUCCUAAGUGAAGCUGUAACUGGGAUGAAGUC
Molecule: ribosomal RNA, 933 nt
Filed under: uncultured organism
Description: bacterial SSU rRNA
Rfam family: Bacterial small subunit ribosomal RNA
Source: RNAcentral